AUGCAAGUCGAACGAUGAACCAAAGCUUGCUUUGGGGAUUAGUGGCGAACGGGUGAGUAAUACGUGAGUAACCUGCCCUGGAUUUUGGGAUAAGCCUUGGAAACGGGGUCUAAUACUGAAUAUUCUUCUCCUGCCGCAUGGUGGGGGUUGGAAAGUUUUUUCGAUCUGGGAUGGGCUCGCGGGCUAUCAGCUUGACGGUGGGGUAGUGGCCUACCGUGGCUUUGACGGCUAGCCGGCCUGAGAGGGUGACCGGCCACACUGGGACUGAGAUACGGCCCAGACUCCUACGGGAGGCAGCAGUGGGGAAUAUUGCACAAUGGACGAAAGUCUGAUGCAGCGACGCCGCGUGCAGGAUGACGGCCUUCGGGUUGUAAACUGCUUUCAGCAUUGAACAAGGCCACAUUUUUUGUGGUUGAGGGUAGGUGCAGAAGAAGCGCCGGCUAACUACGUGCCAGCAGCCGCGGUAAUACGUAGGGCGCAAGCGUUGUCCGGAAUUAUUGGGCGUAAAGAGCUCGUAGGCGGUUGAUCGCGUCUGGCGUGAAAUCCUCUGGCUUAACUGGGGGUCUGCGUUGGGUACGGGUUGACUGGAGUGCUGUAGGGGAGACUGGAAUUCCUGGUGUAGCGGUGGAAUGCGCAGAUAUCAGGAGGAACACCGAUGGCGAAGGCAGGUCUCUGGGCAGUUACUGACGCUGAGGAGCGAAAGCAUGGGGAGCGAACAGGAUUAGAUACCCUGGUAGUCCAUGCCGUAAACGUUGGGCACUAGAUGUGGGGGCCUUUGUUGGUUUCCGUGUCGUAGCUAACGCAUUAAGUGCCCCGCCUGGGGAGUACGGCCGCAAGGCUAAAACUCAAAGGAAUUGACG
Molecule: ribosomal RNA, 860 nt
Filed under: uncultured bacterium
Lineage: Bacteria
Description: bacterial SSU rRNA
Rfam family: Bacterial small subunit ribosomal RNA
Source: RNAcentral